GUCAGAAAUGCGAAAUACAGUUGAUGAGUUAAAGAAAAGCCAAGUUCAGAAUCCGACAACAACUGAAGCAACACCAACUACACCCCUUGUUUCUCCCUCGGUAAAAAGUCAUCCAUAGAGUGACAUUACCAAGUGCAAGUUGCUAGAUUGGAUGGGGAUAGGAGACGUAGUUGCGGAGGGGCGUUGGUCUUUAAGUGAUCCACAUUCUAGUGCUCAUUGUGUUCCAAUUGGACCUAAUGCAAUGAGAGUUUGGGUGGAUGUAGCAAAGAAACCUAAAGAGUUUCUGUAGAGGGCUCCAAGUGAUAUGACCUAUAUCUUAGAUGCUGUGGGAAGUACCAUCGCACGGCCUGUUGACUUUGUUAUUCUGGACUCUUCUUCCCUAGGGUAUUGUACUUUUACUCUCCUCCAUAUCGAAGUAUUAUCUCGGAUGAUAAAUGUAUGUCUAAUUGCCCGUGUUAAUGAUCUCCAUGUUGGAGCGUAGAUUGCUAUACCAGAAUUUAUGCAUACCUAGUUUUAAUGUUGUCCAUUUUUGGCUAGGAAACAUCAGUUAACUGUUUGGGAGGACAUUAGUGGGCAUAACAUGACAAGAAUGCAGAAACUUGACGAUAAGGUCAUUUUUAGGAGAAAACAGUGAAUAGCUUUGAAAGGAACAUUGAGUAUUAAGGUGUUUGAUCAAAGUAAUGCAUGCUUUUUAUAAGAAAAUCAUGAUCUUUUUCUUAUGCCACUAUUGAAAGCCACCUUUUUUGUCCUUUAAUAUCCAUUUUAUCUUGGGAAUUGAACUUUGAUUCAAAUGCAAGAUAAUGUUUUUUUGGUACAACUUCUUAUACAAUCAAACCAAACCAGAUUGAUAUGUUUUAUUUUCCUUCUUUCCUUUGCUAAAUGAUGAAUGAAGAUUUACAAGUUGUAGUAGGUGUACUUUUGUAAGUGUACAUUAACUGAAGGCGGAGGCCUUCCUCGUCAUGGAAGGCUCUUUGGACAUAUUAACUAUCUAGUACAAUCCUUCCCUUAUUGUUUGUUUGAGCAUUUAGGAUCAAUCUUCAUAUUAAUCGUGUGGGUCUUCAGGGACAAUUUGUAGUUGUAACUCCUUUCUGCCUUUUCCUCCAUUUCUUCACUUGUCCUGGGAUUUAACAGCUUCUAAUUUUGUCCUCACCCUCUUUUACACAAAGACACGGACAGUGACACACAUAGGCUCCCAAAUUGCAAGCAUAUAAGAUUUGCGGACGUACCACCCUUCCUGGCCAUGGAAGACUUUCUGGGGGGACUAAUUUUCUAGAACAAGCCUUCCCUUUGUAUUUUUUGAACUGCUCUGGAUCCAUCUUCAUAAGAAAUCAUGUUUAUGGGUUGAUAAAGAAGUUCUGUUGUGACUUUUUGCUGAAGAUAUAGGUAUGAUCUUGCUAGUGUGUUGGUUCUCAUAAUCGCUUGGUUGGUUGAAGCCUUUUUGUUGAUAUUUACGAGAUGGAUAGAUUUUGGAAGGACUAUUUUGGUUGAAGCCUUUUUGUUAAGAUUUUGGUGCCAAGGUUUGAACUCCACUUUUGGGAUACAUAGAUGUUUCGGAAGGCCUUUUUGUUGAUUUUUGUUGACAAGGCUUGUACUCCACUUUUGGGAUAGAUAGAAAUGUUGGAAGUACAUUUAGUAUAUUGAAUUUCUUUAAUGUAAUGGUAAUCGCUUUGAUGUUUGGAGACAUUUUGUUGGUUUUGUAUGUAAUAUUGUGAAAUAUAUUGCCAAGGAAGUCAUUGGAGCCGCCAUCUUUUUUUUAAGCAUUGUAUGAACUUGCUAUGUGGAAUGCUAUUUAGGUUGGAUUGUAAGA
Long non-coding RNA from Rhododendron vialii, 1807 nucleotides. RefSeq lists it as uncharacterized. The transcript is spliced from 3 exons. NCBI's taxonomy places the organism in Eukaryota, Viridiplantae, Streptophyta, Magnoliopsida, Ericales, Ericaceae. The record is from RefSeq and is a predicted model, not a curated record.